UGACAAUACUGUAGGGCAGAUGCCAUUUGC
Molecule: non-coding RNA, 30 nt
Filed under: Rattus norvegicus (Norway rat)
Lineage: Eukaryota; Metazoa; Chordata; Mammalia; Rodentia; Muridae
Source: RNAcentral